GAUCAUGGCUCAGGACGAACGCUGGCGGCGUGCCUAAUACAUGCAAGUAGAACGCUGAAGGAGGAGCUUGCUUCUCCGGAUGAGUUGCGAACGGGUGAGUAACGCGUAGGUAACCUGCCUGGUAGCGGGGGAUAACUAUUGGAAACGAUAGCUAAUACCGCAUAAGAGUAGAUGUUGCAUGACAUUUACUUAAAAGGUGCAAUUGCAUCGCUACCAGAUGGACCUGCGUUGUA
RNAcentral lists this ribosomal RNA (233 nucleotides) under uncultured bacterium. Its description in RNAcentral is "partial 16S ribosomal RNA". It matches the Rfam family "Bacterial small subunit ribosomal RNA", at positions 15 to 240 of the family's 1533-position model. The record is from RNAcentral.